This is a long non-coding RNA of Acanthisitta chloris (rifleman), 1114 nucleotides long. RefSeq lists it as uncharacterized. NCBI's taxonomy places the organism in Eukaryota, Metazoa, Chordata, Aves, Passeriformes, Acanthisittidae. The transcript has 2 exons. The record is from RefSeq and is a predicted model, not a curated record.
GGUUGUUUGUAGGAUGCACAAACAUAUGCAGAUGACAACAGCUUGCUGUUCAUGGAGACGUCGGCGAAGACAGCGAUGAAUGUGAAUGAAAUCUUCAUGGCAAUAGCCAAGAAACUGCCAAAAAAUGAACCCCAGAAUGCUCCUGGUGGCCCAGGCAGGAAUCGGGUGGUGGAUCUUCAGGAGAGCAGCCAGCCGAGCAGGAGCCAGUGCUGCAGCAACUGAGCAGCGGCCCCGGCCCGCGAGGACGUGACUGGAACCCACGCUAACGAUCGCACUUACCGUAGGGCGGCCGCGGCGCCGCCGUGAUUCUCCAUCCCUUUCUGAUCAUAGGCUGGAGGGAGUUCUUCCACCUGCACCUUUCUGUACAAAUACUAAUUCAAUUCUAAGUCUUAAGUCACUUUUUUAAUAUAUGAACUUCUGCUCUUCCCUCGUCCUGGUGGUGGUGGAUGCAGGACCCGGUGUCUGCCCAGCCAGUGCGGCCGUCCCGCGGGCGAGGCCAGCAGCACCCAGGUCCCACAGCACUGUAGUUCACUAUGGGAAACAAAGGGAUAUUGGGACACGUGUUUAAAGUUCCCUGUCUGUAAGAGCUGAGGCUGAUCCCGUACGAUGCGCCCAGAACAACCACUAAACUGUAGCAUUAGAGACAAACUCUGGCUCUUCGGCCACUUAUUGACCAAAUCAGUGAUGAGUAUUUGGGGUGGGGCAGAGGGAAGCAAAACUGGUUUCUUCUGUAUUUUGUAUUGUAUGUUUCUCCAUGUAACCAAUCAGUAUCUUGUCAAUAUAGUACAUCCAACGAGCUGCCUGUUGUCUUUCUUUGUGUUGGACUCCAGCAUGCCAACUCUUCUUUUCUAUCGGUUCGGUCAUAAUGCACUAAUCCUGUUGCAACUUUUGCAAAGAAUCUUGUAUAGAAAAUUGUCCUUUUUUUUGAUGGUUGUGAUGCCACUAAUGUUGUUAACCCUGCUCUGGUGGGAAUACACAAGGUUUACUGAUGUACAGAGGUGGGGUGGGGGAAACCUCGGGUAACCUGUCAGUGGGAACGACGUGUACUGCAAAAGCCUGUAAUUCCACAAAGAAUGAAGGGAGGUAUUAAAUGGCUUCUGUUGCCAGACUCUAA